Molecule: ribosomal RNA, 249 nt
Filed under: uncultured prokaryote
Description: partial 16S ribosomal RNA
Rfam family: Bacterial small subunit ribosomal RNA
Source: RNAcentral
UACGGAGGAUGCAAGCGUUAUCCGGAUUUAUUGGGUUUAAAGGGUGUGCAGGUUGUUUGAUAAGUCAGUGGUGAAAGUCUGUCGCUUAACGGUAGGAUUGCCAUUGAUACUGUUGGACUUGAAUAUGGAUGAGGUAGGCGGAAUGUGUAGUGUAGCGGUGAAAUGCAUAGAUAUUACACAGAAUAUCGAUUGCGAAGGCAGCUCACAAAGCCAAGAUUGACGCUGAGGCACGAAAGUGUGGGGAUCAAA